Molecule: ribosomal RNA, 694 nt
Filed under: uncultured bacterium
Lineage: Bacteria
Description: bacterial SSU rRNA
Rfam family: Bacterial small subunit ribosomal RNA
Source: RNAcentral
AACGCUAGCUACAGGCUUAACACAUGCAAGUCGAGGGGCAGCAUGGUCUUAGCUUGCUAAGGCCGAUGGCGACCGGCGCACGGGUGAGUAACGCGUAUCCAACCUGCCUUACACUCUUGGACAGCCUUCUGAAAGGGAGAUUAAUACAAGAUGUUAUCAUGAGUAAGCAUUUUCGCAUGAUUAAAGGUUUACCGGUGUAAGAUGGGGAUGCGUUCCAUUAGAUAGUAGGCGGGGUAACGGCCCACCUAGUCUUCGAUGGAUAGGGGUUCUGAGAGGAAGGUCCCCCACAUUGGAACUGAGACACGGUCCAAACUCCUACGGGAGGCAGCAGUGAGGAAUAUUGGUCAAUGGACGAGAGUCUGAACCAGCCAAGUAGCGUGAAGGAUGAAGGUUCUAUGGAUUGUAAACUUCUUUUAUACGGGAAUAAACGAAUCCACGUGUGGAUUUUUGCAUGUACCGUAUGAAUAAGGAUCGGCUAACUCCGUGCCAGCAGCCGCGGUAAUACGGAGGAUCCGAGCGUUAUCCGGAUUUAUUGGGUUUAAAGGGAGCGUAGAUGGGUUGUUAAGUCAGUUGUGAAAGUUUGCGGCUCAACCGUAAAAUUGCAAUUGAUACUGGCAGUCUUGAGUACAGUUGAGGUAGGCGGAAUUCGUGGUGUAGCGGUGAAAUGCUUAGAUAUCACGAAGAACUCCGAUUG